UACAGAGGUCCCAAGCGUUGUUCGGAUUCAUUGGGCGUAAAGGGUGCGUAGGCGGCUUAGCAAGUUGGAUGUGAAAUCCCUCGGCUCAACCAAGGAAGUGCAUCCAAAACUGCUGAGCUUGAAUACUUAAGAGGAUCGCGGAAUUCCCGGUGUAGAGGUGAAAUUCGUAGAUAUCGGGAGGAACACCAGUGGCGAAGGCGGCGAUCUGGGAAGAUAUUGACGCUGAGGUGCGAAAGCGUGGGGAGCAAACAGG
RNAcentral lists this ribosomal RNA (253 nucleotides) under uncultured bacterium. Its description in RNAcentral is "partial 16S ribosomal RNA". It matches the Rfam family "Bacterial small subunit ribosomal RNA", at positions 524 to 776 of the family's 1533-position model. The record is from RNAcentral.